GUAAUACGACGUUACAUACGUCAGUCGCCGUGAGCUGCAUGAAGCUUAACAUUUGAUGUUGAGCCAUGCGGUUAGUCUAAUUCCCUUUACUGGCAUUAGGUUAGUUAUGGCAUCUACGGGGUAUUUUGGUGACGGUCCGCCGAUGCGCGAGCGUGACCCGUACUUCACUGAGGUCAUCAGCCAGAGCAUGCGCGUGCCCGAGCGGCUGAGGGUCGGUUCAGCGUCCAACGCGCACGAACCUGCAGACCAAAGACCUGAAGAUCUGCCUGCUGCCUACAGCAUGCACAUACCAGACAGACUCGCCUUAACAGAUGCUCCUGAUAUGAGUCCACGACCUCUCUUCUCCAAACACACUUCAUCAAUGUGGGACCUGCAGCACGGAUCCUGGGACAGGGAGGCUUUCAUGAGAGAGCCUGUUCAGAGUCCACUUCGCAGGUCUUAUAGUGACCAGGCCUUUGGUCGAACCCCACCUGGAACCCCCACACACUCCAGACAAACACUCCGCUCCCAGUCUCCCCGCAGUGUUGUACAUCCACCUGUCGUGCAUACAGACCCGUCCCCGCCAAAGCCCCCAGGGCAUCCCUCCAUCCCGCCCAGCCUGCUGUCCCCACAGAGCAUGCUGCAGGCCGCGAAGGAGCUGGGCCAGCAGGCAUCUCAGAAACUCCUCCAGACUGUCACUAAAAAGUACUCCUCCAGGUUUGGUUACCUGGAAAACAAUCCCUCUCAGGCUGCGGAGGUUCAACCUGACCAGAGCAGGACAAGUGCCUCGCAGGAGUUCUGGCUUAGUCCUGAAGAGGACACUGGUACUGCUGUUGAGUUCAUGGUGCUCCGCAGACAGGAACUGCCUGCAUACUCUCGCCACAUGAGGCCGGGCAUUGUCGUGCACCAGGAGGAACCCAGGACCCACUGCACCAGCGUAGGAUCUGACAAUGGGUCUAUGGAUUUCAUCCCGAUAACUAAUGGCAGUCAGGGUGCCAUUGUCUAGCCUGUAGAGGUCUGUGCGUUCCUCCAUGGAUAUGCCUCCCCAGACCAUCACUGACCCACCACCAAACCGGUCAUGCUGAACGACAUUACAGGCAGCAUAACGUUCUCCACGGCUUCUCAGACCCUUUCACGUCUGUCACAUGUGCUCAGGGUGAACCUGCUGUCAUCUGAAAAGCACAGGACGCCAGUGGCGGACCUGCCAAUUCUGGUGUUUAAUGGCAAAUGCCAGUCGAGCUCCAUGGUGCCAGGCAAGUAAGCACAGGGCCCACUAGAGGACGUCAGGCCCUCAGGCCACACUCAUGAAGUCUGUUUCUGAUUGUUUGGUCAGAGACAUUCACACCAGUGGCCUGCUGGAGGUCAUUUUGUAGGGCUCUGGCAGUGCUUAUCCUGAUCCUCCUUGCAUAAAGGUGCAGAUACCAGUCCUGCUGAUGGGUUAAGGACCUUCUAUGGCUCUGUCCAGCUCCCCUAGACUGCCUGUCUCCUGGAAUCUCCUCCAUGCUCUUGAGACUGUGCUGGGAGACACAGCAAACCUUCUGGCAAUGGCACAUGUUGAUGUGCCAUCCUGGAGGAGUUGGACUGCCUAUGCAACCUCUGUAGGGUCCAGGUGGUGAAGAUGAGCAGGAGGAUAGCAGGUCUGGAGAGACAGAACGCAGAGCGCAGACAGACAGAGCUGGUGCUCUUUUCUCUAUUAAUGUCUGCCUGUCUGAUCAAUGGCUGGCUGUGGAUGCGCAGAUGACGG
Ctenopharyngodon idella (grass carp) is the source of this 1723-nucleotide RNA transcript. It is a transcript of the gene named mitochondrial fission factor, with no coding region annotated. The record is from RefSeq and is a predicted model, not a curated record. NCBI's taxonomy places the organism in Eukaryota, Metazoa, Chordata, Actinopteri, Cypriniformes, Xenocyprididae. The transcript is spliced from 9 exons.